Molecule: long non-coding RNA, 2324 nt
Organism: Callithrix jacchus (white-tufted-ear marmoset)
Lineage: Eukaryota; Metazoa; Chordata; Mammalia; Primates; Cebidae
Source: RefSeq, a predicted model, not a curated record
UCUUUCCCGGAGACUACAGAACCUCCCCCGAGAGCCAAAUAAAUUGGUGUCUAAUUGUUCUCAUGCAGGCCUCAGUUUCCUCAUUUUAAACUCGGCAAUAAACGUCGCAAAAGAAACAAUCUUGCAAGUGGUGGGGAAACCCGGGAGGAAUUAUAAGACCCCUCCUGGGGGAAACUGACUCCUCCACCCAAAGCCGGACCAGGGAACCGCUCCAUCACAAGUGCUGUUGUUGGAUCCAUGGGGUUAACAGACACUGCUGGCUUCUCGGCUCAGGCUACAAUCUUCAUAGGCACCUGACUAAUCGGACAACCCGGGAAGAGGAUGACGCUGACCACCACUGUGAGGCAGACCAGGGUUGUGGGAUCAGCUUUGUGUAACUCACAUGACAAGGAUAGAGGAGAAUGAGGCAAAAACUUCCCAGAUGAUCCGUGCUGUCUCCACUUCCCUCUCAUUGGCCUGACCCACAGUUCAGAAGGGGCUUUCCUAACCCUUCCUUAAGAGCUUCCACCUUUUCAGACAUAAUUAUUAUUAUUGUUGUAAUUAAUGUUACCAUUUACCUAUGAGAAUGAGCUGUCUGCAUGUCCCCCUGUCUCUACCCAUAGAAAAUGUUCCAUUGAGUAGCAGUAUAUUUCUUGGGCAUAUUUUGAAGCAUGAAAGUUUGUACAUGUCUGGUUUCUACCACUCACCUGAUGGGAUUUUAGUUUCCAGGUUAGAGAUACAUUCACAGAUGCAUUCAUAGCACUGACUUCAUCCUCAGAUCCUCUGUUACCUUGAUUUACCAGUGACACUGGUGAGCAGCCCACGCAAAGCUGGACACUGAAUGUCUUCCUAAAGAUACAAGACCUCUUAAAACUUCAUGUUACUAAUUUCAACUUGUCAUCUUAAUGAUUAAUGCAGCUAUUGCUAAGUUGAUCUUAACAUCAAGAUUCCUUUAAGCAAAGAGCAAUUCAAGGCAGUAUUGCACUUCUCCAAGCUUAAUGCUUUAACACUGCUUAUUAAUAGGUCAGGUAAAAAAGGGAAGGCUGCAUUCUAGUAAAGACCACAUAAUUCAAUCACAUACUCUAUGUUUACUAGCAGUCGAAGAGCUAAAAUUGAAGCUGUAAUACUGUAAACCUUUCUCUGCUCAGCCCAUAAAUACAGUAAGUGACUUGGCUUACUCAGUUUAUUUAUUACAAAAAUAUUAAAACAGCUUUAAUUAAAUCUAAUUUCAAGCCCACAGCUCAAACAAACUUACAAAUGAUAAAAUCACUGCUUAUCCAAGACAGAAAGAUUAGAGAGAGAAAUAGAAAAAAAAAAUCAGUAAGGAGAAAGAGAAAGAGUAAGGAAGGCAAAGAGAGAAAGAAAGGAACAGAAAGUAAGACAAAAAGGAGAGAUAAGUAAAGAACGAAAUAUUAACAAAGUUAUCAAAUUGAACCUUUAAUAAGAAGGUUAUAAAAUGAAAAAAGUUAAGUAUGUCUAAGUUUGUCAGUGAAUGCUGUUAAAACUGUUGUAGAAGGGAAUUUAUUACGCAAGUAGGUUGUAUGAAUUUUGCUUUACAGUCUAAGCAGGUUUUAAAAUAUUUUAAAAGUAGUUCUGUGUGUGAACAUAUUGGUUAAAAGUUAAGGAAGUGUCAUCUGGUUUUUCUGUAAACUGGCAACAAGUUUUUCUUAAAGCUUUAAUCUGCUAUUUUACAAAGAUUAUAAAAUGUCUCUUAGCACAGGCAUCAACACUAGACUUUCCAGUACACUAGCACCAUCAAAGAAACUUUGAUGAGGAUACCUUCAUCCAAAAAUGGAAAGAAGAAAAACUCAAGCCAGCCUAGGACACAAGCCCCAGACCUCACCUAAGGAAUGCUAAAGAGGGCUACCCAAAAGGCUUUUCACAGAUGUCAACCAGCUCAAUAGAAGAUGAGACCAAUGACAAUAUCACAACACUUACCAGUAUGGGCUUCUGGAUGGCUGUGACAACAGACUUCAGCCUGGGCUGAGAGUUUCAGCCUCCUCAAGAGGGUCACCAAUUUCUGCUGGUCCGUGGCUGUGUUGAAUACAGUGUUCAGGGACCCACACUGGACAACUGGCACCUUUUGUGAAAACACAAACAACCCUGCCCCCAUAUCAUAGCAGGAUCUGUUUGGAGGUCCUUCCAUUGGACCCAUGCCUUAGGUAUUUCCCGGGUGGUAAAGUGUCUAUCUGUGGGGGAAUGUCCAGAUUCAUCACAGUUUAAAAAAUUAAGGUUAUACAGUGCAAGAGAAACUCCGGUAGCUGGAGUUCCCCUAUAAUCUCCUUUCUCUUAUUUUUCAAUUUGAGUUUUCAUAGUGCAGUGAACAUGCUCAACAAUAGCUUGAC